Molecule: ribosomal RNA, 41 nt
Filed under: Balsamia magnata
Lineage: Eukaryota; Fungi; Ascomycota; Pezizomycetes; Pezizales; Helvellaceae
Description: partial 5.8S ribosomal RNA
Source: RNAcentral
ACUUUCAACAACGGAUCUCUUGGUUCUCGCAUCGAUGAAGA